Molecule: long non-coding RNA, 389 nt
Organism: Penaeus monodon (black tiger shrimp)
Lineage: Eukaryota; Metazoa; Arthropoda; Malacostraca; Decapoda; Penaeidae
Exons: 2
Source: RefSeq, a predicted model, not a curated record
UGUGGUUUUCCCUAACUAGAGAUUACCAACACAUUUUCUUUCGAUGCUUUCGUGUGUGUUUGUGCGCGUGUGUGCGUGUGUACGAGUUCCUUGGUACCGUUCCCGCGACCAAAGCAAGGUCGGUGACCCAUUCAGCACGACCUUCACUUAGCUCCAAGCUCCGUGCCCAUACACACCAUAUUCUCCACUUUUCCUUUAUGAAAGUGAAUCGAAUAUUGAGCAUUCGAGUAGUUCUCAAGACGGCAGACAAUUGCUGAGCUCGGAUGCCUCUUAAGCAAACAAGCUUUGUCAGAAGAUACAGCCUGGACCAAUCCAAUGUUUUGUUGUUUUUUGAGGAUGCUCACUUAUUGGUUACCUUAUACAAAUUGUAAAUAUAUUGGUGAAAUGUG